UGGGGAAUAUUGCACAAUGGGCGCAAGCCUGAUGCAGCAACGCCGCGUGAACGAUGAAGGUCUUCGGAUCGUAAAGCUCUGUUGCAGGGGAAGAUAAUGACGGUACCCUGUGAGGAAGCCCCGGCUAACUACGUGCCAGCAGCCGCGGUAAUACGUAGGGGGCUAGCGUUAUCCGGAUUUACUGGGCGUAAAGGGUGCGUAGGUGGUCCUUCAAGUCGGUGGUUAAAGGCUACGGCUCAACCGUAGUAAGCCGCCGAAACUGGAGGACUUGAGUGCAGGAGAGGAAAGUGGAAUUCCCAGUGUAGCGGUGAAAUGCGUAGAUAUUGGGAGAAACACCAGUAGCGAAGGCGGCUUUCUGGACUGCAACUGACACUGGGGCACGAAAGCGUGGGUAGCAAACAGG
Molecule: ribosomal RNA, 403 nt
Filed under: Verrucomicrobiota bacterium
Lineage: Bacteria; Pseudomonadati; Verrucomicrobiota
Description: Verrucomicrobia bacterium partial 16S ribosomal RNA
Rfam family: Bacterial small subunit ribosomal RNA
Source: RNAcentral